GUGACUGCGUACCUUUUGUAUAAUGGGUCAGCGACUUAUAUUCUGUAGCAAGGUUAACCGUAUAGGGGAGCCGAAGGGAAACCGAGUCUUAACUGGGCGUUAAGUUGCAGGGUAUAGACCCGAAACCCGGUGAUCUAGCCAUGGGCAGGUUGAAGGUUGGGUAACACUAACUGGAGGACCGAACCGACUAAUGUUGAAAAAUUAGCGGAUGACCUGUGGCUGGGGGUGAAAGGCCAAUCAAACCGGGAGAUAGCUGGUUCUCCCCGAAAGCUAUUUAGGUAGCGCCUCGUGAACUCAUCUUCGGGGGUAGAGCACUGUUUCGGCUAGGGGGCCAUCCCGGCUUACCAACCCGAUGCAAACUACGAAUACCGAAGAAUGUUAUCACGGGAGACACACGGCGGGUGCUAACGUCCGUCGUGAAGAGGGAAACAACCCAGACCGCCAGCUAAGGUCCCAAAGUCAUGGUUAAGUGGGAAACGAUGUGGGAAGGCACAGACAGCCAGGAUGUUGGCUUAGAAGCAGCCAUCAUUUAAAGAAAGCGUAAUAGCUCACUGGUCGAGUCGGCCUGCGCGGAAGAUGUAACGGGGCUAAACCAUGCACCGAAGCUGCGGCAGCGACACUAUGUGUUGUUGGGUAGGGGAGCGUUCUGUAAGCCGUUGAAGGUGUGCUGUGAGGCAUGCUGGAGGUAUCAGAAGUGCGAAUGCUGACAUAAGUAACGAUAAAGCGGGUGAAAAGCCCGCUCGCCGGAAGACCAAGGGUUCCUGUCCAACGUUAAUCGGGGCAGGGUGAGUCGACCCCUAAGGCGAGGCCGAAAGGCGUAGUCGAUGGGAAACAGGUUAAUAUUCCUGUACUUGGUGUUACUGCGAAGGGGGGACGGAGAAGGCUAUGUCAGCCGGGCGACGGUUGUCCCGGUUUAAGCAUGUAGGCGGAGGUUCCAGGUAAAUCCGGUACCUUAUUAACGCUGAGGUGUGAUGACGAGGCACUACGGUGCUGAAGUGAUAAAUGCCCUGCUUCCAGGAAAAGCCUCUAAGCAUCAGGUAACACGAAAUCGUACCCCAAACCGACACAGGUGGUCAGGUAGAGAAUACCAAGGCGCUUGAGAGAACUCGGGUGAAGGAACUAGGCAAAAUGGUGCCGUAACUUCGGGAGAAGGCACGCUGAUA
This 1163-nucleotide ribosomal RNA is filed under the name Enterobacter hormaechei subsp. xiangfangensis. RNAcentral describes it as "partial 23S ribosomal RNA". It matches the Rfam family "Bacterial large subunit ribosomal RNA", at positions 593 to 1756 of the family's 2925-position model. Lineage: Bacteria; Pseudomonadati; Pseudomonadota; Gammaproteobacteria; Enterobacterales; Enterobacteriaceae. The record is from RNAcentral. RNAcentral also lists the same sequence under 1 other name.